Molecule: long non-coding RNA, 4143 nt
Organism: Mastomys coucha (southern multimammate mouse)
Lineage: Eukaryota; Metazoa; Chordata; Mammalia; Rodentia; Muridae
Exons: 5
Source: RefSeq, a predicted model, not a curated record
CCGCUCAUGGUCCUUGUCGGACUCGGGCUGGCUCUGCGCCCGUUCGGGCUUGGGGUUGGCGGCCGGUGGAUCCGGCUGCUGCACCGACAUGGUCCUGCGCAGGUGGUUGCGCUUGCGCAGAAACUCCGGCUGCGCAUGCAGCCCAAAGCUGCCCUUGCGCAGAAUCAUGCGCGAGUUGUUCUUCUUGGGGCGAGACCGGUGGCUGGCCUCCAGUGCUGCCAGGUGUGCUGCGUAGCCUUCACUCAGGAACUGUGAAGGGACAAGCGUCAGAUGCCAUUACACCUGCCGCAACUUGGAUUCUCCCGUGCGUCCAGCAGGGGGCCUGGCCCAAGGCAUUGCUCAGUUAGAGAUGAAUGAGUUGCGAAGGAAGAUGGCCUUCUGCCUCAGUGGGUCGUGCACCAGUCCAUCCGAGAAGAAGAUCAUGCCCUGUGGGAAGUUGUGCUGGGACAGCCACGACACCACCCGCUGCUUCUGCAUGUCCGGCCGCCCCGUGAUGUAAAGGAUCAUGUAGCCCAGGUCCUGCCAGUGCCUGGCGAGAUGGCAUUGCUGGGUCCAGCUCAGCCUGCUACAAGCCACCCACUGCCCAAGUUUCUGCCCUGACGGGGACCGCCUUCCAGAGAAGCCAGCAGUUAUGGUGAGGGGGCUCUCAAGUCCUCACCUCUGGUGAGUGAUGGACAUUUGGAUGGCCUGUGAGGACUAGCCCUACCUGAUACCUCCCCUUUCCCUCUCCUGCUUCCACCUUCUCCACUAACGAGACAGCUUCCAAUAGCCACAGGCCACAGGCUUUGUGCCCACCUUCAGUGCCUGGUCCUUAGCUCAGGCACUGCCUUUCCCCUGAACCACUGCAAAGACCUUAGUAGCCACUUUCCCUUGGGUCUUCCCACUUUGAUCUGAUCUUUUGUAACCUUGAACUAUACACACACACACACACACACACACACACACACACACACACCACAGGCCACAGGCUCAGUUUCCCCGUCUUACAGAUGGAGUAAUCAUCCAGACACCCCCGUGGGGCUAUGUCAGGGAUAAAGGCACUGAUCCCAAAGCAGCUUGACAUAGUCUGCCUGGCAGAGUUGGCUGCAUUUCCAUCCUUGACCGUUUCCAUGGAGAUCUCUAUAAACCACAAACCCAACCCUGUUGCUCCUUCACUUGUUAUGCUUCCUUCCAUACCUGGCUCCCUAGUGCUGAAGAGAUGUGUCAAGGCUUCCCUCUGCUCUUGGACUCUGUCCUGGUGAGUGAACUUUCCCUAUCCACAUGGGGGGGGGUGUUCUGUCACCCCCGUAAUAGCCCUGUACUCCUGACUCAGGACUCUAGACAGCCAACAUCUUUCUAGAUCUCUCUUCUAGGAAGCUCUCCCCACUUCUCAGACAGAAUCUUUACUCUCUAAUGGCCCAGGGUACAGAUAAGCCCAGACCUGGGUAGGUAUUUUUUGUGGUACCAGCCACCAACUACUGGGCUUUCUAAAGCCAGAUGGUGAUCUGACUGCUUGGGAACCUGAAGAUGCACAGUCCAGGUGUUACAGGGAUGCUGGGAGAACACCAGGCACACGGAUCUGUGUUGAGCUCAUAAAAAGCCAUUUCUAGAAACUAGCGAGGUGUCAGUGCUAUGUUGAAGGAGGCAGGAGCCACCACGAAGGGAAAGAGCGCACCCCCCAUCCCCACUUCCCAGCUACCCUCCCAGCAGGCUUUCCAGCACCUCCCCAAGCAGCCAGAAAGCAGCUGGAGGACAACUGUCUCUGAGCCUAGAAGUCAGCCCAACUUCUCUCCCCAAGCAAGGCAGCACAGUCCCCAUGCCAGCUGCCGCGAACUCUGCAAACUCCCGUUCCUAUCCAGCCUUGGGGUCUGAGCCUCUAUUGUCACCACUGAGGAAAAACCUAAUGUACUGUCCCCCAAACUUCUGGCUCCUGCCCUGGGGAGACAUCUUCCUUGGGGAAGGUAACACUCACCGAACAACAUCCACUGCACCUGGCCGGACCUUGGGGUCACUUCCCAUGAUAGACACACUGGCAGCAAAGGAUCCGUCAAUGCUGAAAACCACACACUCCAUCCCCCGGGGCAGCACUGUGAGGUAGCUCAUCGCACAGGUCUGGUCACCCCUGAAAGGUAUCAACCUGAGGUCAGCCUGGGGUCAGGGUCUUGGUGGCACCUCCUGGUACUAUGGCUCGUGGCUUCCUCCCUUUUCUUCUCUCCAUGCAAACAGAAAUAAACUCUGCCUUCCAGCUGCACAUGUAUGGAAGCCCACCAAAAGUCCACUGUGUGAACGUCCUCACACACAUCUUCAUCCUACCUGACCACCAUCUUUACAGGGUAGACACCGACCCCCAGACGCCGGGGCCGGGGCACAUUGUAUGUGAUUCUGCCGCUGUUGUUGGUGAUUUCUGUGUCCAGGUGGACCCACCGGCCUGACGACGGCUCUGUCAUCACCAGGAUGUCCACCUACAGCCAGUGAAGGGAGCAAGGAACCUGCUACAGGCUGAAGGACAACAUGCUUAACAGCCAAGACAACAGACCCCGGGGCACAGUCAGAGCUACCAUGUCCAGAGGGCCAUACAUGAAGCGCCCCACCAAGACCUGGGGGCCAUCUUCAGCAGCAAUUACAUCAUUGGCACGGUGGUUCGCAGUAACAUUCUGCACGGACAGAAAGAAAAAACCCUGCUCAGCUUUUGCAGACAAGGCUCUCAUUCUUGCUUUGUCAUGAAAGCCUUGCAAGGAUGGCUUCCAGGGCGUGGCCCAACUGAGUCAGCUGUCCUGUGAGCUUCCUACGCUAGAAUCCCAGAAACAGACUGUGAAAUACCAAACUGCUCCUUAGGCUGCCCACAGAGGUGUGCCCCAUGCUCUUGCUUCUGCACACCCCCUGAAGUGAGGGCUGGUCUUUACAGCCUGACAAUCAUUUUUAGAUUUCUGUGCUGGAAUCUACCCAGUCACCUUUGGUUCUUCCUUCGGCCUAAACAGCCAUUUACAUAGCUCCUUUUUUUUUUUUAAUGGAAAAUUUCAAAUGCACAAGAAUAGAAAAAAAAAUAAUAUAGAUGAGCUUAUGAGCCUGACCAGAGCAUCCAUACUGAUCAGCUGACCGCCAUCCAGGUGUCCUUUCCCUGAAGCCUCAGCCCCUCAUAGGAUCCUGGAUGGGCUGCUUCCAGACAGAUUCUCUGUGUCCUUUAUAAGACACAGGUCUGACCCAACCUGGCCAGCAUCCCAUACCUUCCACUGAACUCCAAACCCUGAGUGUGGCACACGGAGCCACACCUUGCAGAAGUGCCUCUACAUUCUGCUUGCCUGGUGCCCCUCCUCCACCCUCUUGUUCUGACAUCUCUUUUCCCAAACAGUAGCCCAUCCCCCAGCAAGAGACUCAACCCCAUCCCCUUAUUCUUACUGGCUCCCCAAAAACGUGGAGUCCACCUCCUCUCAACUUGAAGGCCGUGUGAUUGAGCCCCAACACACCUCAACAGAUCUCGUUGGCAUGGGCCCUUAUAGAACCUCCUCACGGGACCUGCCCUAGUAUGGCUCCCUUAAGCACUGCAGCUGUGGAACACUGCAGAGGAUGGAUGGGUGCUUAAAAAUAAGCUUGAGCAAUGGGCUCAUCACACACUAAGAUACCCAGAGUCAAAGACUCAGACAACAAUGGAUGCUGAGGGGUGGGUGUGCCACAAUCCAAACCCUCAAACACUGCUGGUGGGAAUAAAAUGGGGCAACCACUGUAGAAGGUACACUCAAGAGAUUAAGUGUAGGAAGCACCAGUCCCUAUCUAUGCCCAAGGGAAAUGAAAAUAUAUGUCCAUAAAAGGUGCAGAUGAAUAUGUAAAUUAUUCAAAAUAGCCAACAGGUGGAAAUACCCCAAAUGCCCAUCAACGGACAACUGGAUGAACAGGACAUAUGGAUACAGAAGAAUAGUAUCCAGUCAAGAAAAGGAGACAAGUUCCUAUACAUGACACAUCAUGGGUGACCCUAUGUUAAGAUGCUAAGUGAAAGAAGGCAGACAGAAACACACGUGUGACUUCAUUUACAUGAAAUGCUGAGGACGGGCUAGGUCUGCAGAGGUUGACACUAGAUGAUUGGUUGGUUACUCAGGGAGGAGUCAGCAUGGCAUCGCAGAAGAAAAGAGGGCUGCUGGGAAAAGGGUUCCUUUUAUGCUGUGACAACUU